AUUGAACGCUGGCGGCAGGCCUAACACAUGCAAGUCGAACGAGUGGCGGACGGGUGAGUAAUGUCUGGGGAUCUGCCUGAUAGAGGGGGAUAACUACUGGACACGGUAGCUAAUACCGCAUACCAUCAGAUGUGCCCAUAUGGGAUUAGCUUGUUGGUGGGGUAACGGCUCACCAAGGCGACGAUCCCUAGCUGGUCUGAGAGGAUGACCAGACACACUGGAAAUGAGACACGGUCCAGACUCCUACGGGAGGAAGCAGUGGGGAAUAUUGAACAAUGGGCGCAAGCCUGAUGCAGCCAUGCCGCGUGUAUGAAGAAGGCCGUAGGGUUGUAAAGUACUUUCAGCGGGGAGGCGUUACCCGCAGAAGAAGCACCGGCUAACUCCGUGCCAGCAGCCGCGGUAAUUC
This 406-nucleotide ribosomal RNA is filed under the name uncultured bacterium. RNAcentral's name for it is "partial 16S ribosomal RNA". It matches the Rfam family "Bacterial small subunit ribosomal RNA", at positions 30 to 526 of the family's 1533-position model. The record is from RNAcentral.